Paramisgurnus dabryanus is the source of this 683-nucleotide long non-coding RNA. RefSeq lists it as uncharacterized. Lineage: Eukaryota; Metazoa; Chordata; Actinopteri; Cypriniformes; Cobitidae. The record is from RefSeq and is a predicted model, not a curated record.
UUUUUUUUUUUAAUUGUUGGCUUUAAGUUAAUUUGUCUGUCAGACUCAGUUUGUUCGUGUUGUAGCCUGUUAACAGUAGACCAAAGGUAUGAUGAUCAAUUAUAAAUGCAAUAUGGUUGAAAGGUCAGUAAACAAACAACAAAAAGCUUGACAAAAAUGUAGCUUGAAGGAGAAGGGACAGCUGAGUAACAAAGUCCUGGUAUGCAGACGACGAUACUAUUACACUGACAAGAGUGUAAUGAUGAUGGAGACACAAGCCAGAGAAAGGGGGGACCAAACACCAGGCCAGAAUUCUGCAUGAGUCAGAUCCAGUGGGUGCAGAUCAUCAUACAGAUGGUUCAAGUGUGGAUCCACCUAAUAUUCAAGAUUUUCUGUCCUGGGACACUUGGCUAACCAUCAAGAAAGAACACACUCCAGUGGGCAUCCUUUAUCCAUCCAGACCCUCAUACAGAUGGUUGGAGUUUUGAUUAAUCUAAAGUACCAUGCAAGAGCACUCAUUUUCCCUCUUGAGACCAUGGUGUGACCUGCAAGGUCGAAUGGAGACUGUAAACGAGACAAUCUUGGAGUCACCUGCAUUCACUGGUCCAGUUGUUAGUCCAAUUACAGAUGGAGAUUAUAGAAGAGGAUGAUGUCUUUUCUCCAACAUCUUUCUAGACUGAUAAAAGAUCUAGACAGGCUUGAAC